GAGCGGUAGCACAGAGAGCUUGCUCUCGGGUGACGAGCGGCGGACGGGUGAGUAAUGUCUGGGAAACUGCCUGAUGGAGGGGGAUAACUACUGGAAACGGUAGCUAAUACCGCAUAAUGUCGCAAGACCAAAGUGGGGGACCUUCGGGCCUCAUGCCAUCAGAUGUGCCCAGAUGGGAUUAGCUAGUAGGUGGGGUAACGGCUCACCUAGGCGACGAUCCCUAGCUGGUCUGAGAGGAUGACCAGCCACACUGGAACUGAGACACGGUCCAGACUCCUACGGGAGGCAGCAGUGGGGAAUAUUGCACAAUGGGCGCAAGCCUGAUGCAGCCAUGCCGCGUGUGUGAAGAAGGCCUUCGGGUUGUAAAGCACUUUCAGCGGGGAGGAAGGCGAUAAGGUUAAUAACCUUGUCGAUUGACGUUACCCGCAGAAGAAGCACCGGCUAACUCCGUGCCAGCAGCCGCGGUAAUACGGAGGGUGCAAGCGUUAAUCGGAAUUACUGGGCGUAAAGCGCACGCAGGCGGUCUGUCAAGUCGGAUGUGAAAUCCCCGGGCUCAACCUGGGAACUGCAUUCGAAACUGGCAGGCUAGAGUCUUGUAGAGGGGGGUAGAAUUCCAGGUGUAGCGGUGAAAUGCGUAGAGAUCUGGAGGAAUACCGGUGGCGAAGGCGGCCCCCUGGACAAAGACUGACGCUCAGGUGCGAAAGCGUGGGGAGCAAACAGGAUUAGAUACCCUGGUAGUCCACGCCGUAAACGAUGUCGAUUUGGAGGUUGUGCCCUUGAGGCGUGGCUUCCGGAGCUAACGCGUUAAAUCGACCGCCUGGGGAGUACGGCCGCAAGGUUAAAACUCAAAUGAAUUGACGGGGGCCCGCACAAGCGGUGGAGCAUGUGGUUUAAUUCGAUGCAACGCGAAGAACCUUACCUGGUCUUGACAUCCACAGAACUUUCCAAAGAUGGAUUGUGCCUUCGG
Molecule: ribosomal RNA, 967 nt
Filed under: Klebsiella pneumoniae
Lineage: Bacteria; Pseudomonadati; Pseudomonadota; Gammaproteobacteria; Enterobacterales; Enterobacteriaceae
Description: bacterial SSU rRNA
Rfam family: Bacterial small subunit ribosomal RNA
Source: RNAcentral